This 468-nucleotide ribosomal RNA is filed under the name Triticum aestivum (bread wheat). RNAcentral describes it as "partial small subunit ribosomal RNA". Lineage: Eukaryota; Viridiplantae; Streptophyta; Magnoliopsida; Poales; Poaceae. The record is from RNAcentral.
AUGCGUGAUCAGGUCAGCAUCGACCUGGACGGCUUCCCCCUCGACCACGAGUUCCCGAACGACUACGGGCAAGAGGAAGAGGACGAGUGCGACAUCAACGUGGAGCCCUUGUUCGAGGACGAGCUCGCCAACCAAGCCGCCGGUCCUAAGCUGAAGCACAAGAGCAAGCGUACGAAGGCGUACACGACGGCCGAGGACAAGCUUCUUUGCGAGUGUUGGCGAGACAUUGGACAAGACCCCAAGACGGGCACUAAGCAAAAGCACUCAACCUUUUGGACUCGUGUCCACCGAGAGUUUCAUGAGCGCAAGAAGUUUCCGCCGUACCAAUUUGUGAGCACGCGCGGGUGGGUCUCCAUUUCCAAGCAGUGGAGGGUGAUCCAACAAGAGUGCAAUAAGUUUUGCGCCACUCUUGAGAGCGUCAAGGCCCGCCCCGUGAGCGGCAUCGGCAUGCAAGACAUGGUAUGCUAG